This 956-nucleotide ribosomal RNA is filed under the name uncultured candidate division CAB-I bacterium. RNAcentral's name for it is "bacterial SSU rRNA". It matches the Rfam family "Bacterial small subunit ribosomal RNA", at positions 9 to 991 of the family's 1533-position model. The record is from RNAcentral.
GAGUUUGAUCCUGGCUCAGGAUGAACGCACAAGACGUGCCUAACACAUGCAAAUCGAAUGAAAAGAAUUAAUUAUUGUUUUCAUGGUGAACGGGUGAGUAACACAUAAGAAUCAGCUUUUAGAUAAGGCAUAAAAGAGUAAUAUCUUGGUAAUUCCUUAUAUGCGCAGCAGUGCUUAAAAAGGGGAGUCCCGUCUAAAAACGAGCUUAUGCCUGAUUAGCUAGUUGGCGAGUUAAAAGCUCACCAAGGCGAAGAUCAGUAGCUGGCCUGAGAGGGCGGCCAGCCACAUUGGGACUGAGACACGGCCCAAACUCCUACGGGAGGCAGCAGUGGGGAAUCUUCUGCAAUGGGCGCAAGCCUGACAGAGCGGCGUCGUGUGAAGGAAGAAGGCCUGAAAUAGGUUGUAAACUUCUUUUACUGAGUAAUGAAUAAUGACAACGCAGUAAAAAAGUAUCGGCUAACUCCGUGCCAGCAGCCGCGGUAAUACGGGGGAUGCAAGCGUUAUCCGGAAUCACUGGGCGUAAAGCGUCUGUAGGUGGUUUAGUGUGUUCUUAGUUAAAUUAUGAAGCCUAACUUCAUGAAAAGUAAGAAAACUAUUAGACUUGAGUACGAUAGGGGUAAGAGGAAUUCUUCGAGAAGUAGUGAAAUGCGAAGAUACGAAGGAGAAGAUCAUAAGCGAAGGCUUCUUACUGGGUCGUAACUGACACUGAGAGACGAAAGCUAGGGGAGCGAAUGGGAUUAGAUACCCCAGUAGUCCUAGCUGUAAACGAUGGAUAUUCGGUGCCGGAAAUUUUAUUAGAACAUUUCGGUACCCUAGCUAACGCGUUAAAUAUCCCGCCUGAGGAGUACGCUCGCAAGGGUGAAACUCAAAGGAAUUGACGGGGGCUCGCACAAGCGGUGGAGCAUGUGGUUUAAUUCGAUGCAAAGCGAAGAACCUUACCAGGGCUUGACAGUAUG